RNAcentral lists this long non-coding RNA (2311 nucleotides) under Mytilus galloprovincialis (Mediterranean mussel). Lineage: Eukaryota; Metazoa; Mollusca; Bivalvia; Mytilida; Mytilidae. The record is from RNAcentral.
AACAAAGAUCCUCGUUAUUAAAUGAUGUUAAUUAUUGACUCAUGUAUUUAUCAGACAUCUUUUAAUAAGUUCACUAUCAAGAAUUAAUGGGAAAGCAGGAAUAACAAUACUUUUAGACAGAAAUAGCAGCAUUUAAAAUGUGUUAGCAAUACAGAUUAUUUUUGUAAUAUACUAAAAAGUUUGGAAAACGGAGAAAAAAGAAAAUCACUAAACUACUGAGCUCUGAGGAAAAUUCAAAACGGAAAGUCCCUAAUCAUAUGGCAAAUCGAAAGCUCAAACACAUCAAACUAAUGGAUAACAACCGUCAUAUUCCUUUCUAGAUAGAAACAUUAUCUUUUGUAGAACAUGUCUGAUCAAACCUGGUUUUGUAGCUUGCUAAACCUCUUGACUUGUUUGACAGUGGCAUCGGAUUCAAUUAUAUUGUCAAUGAUGUUCGACAGUGGCAUCAGAUUCAAUUAUAUUGACAAUGAUCUCUGAACAAAACAAAAAAACAUAAUAGGUAAAAAUGUCAAACGUAGCGGAACAGCAGACAACAUUAUGUUAAAAUCCCAAUCACUAUAAACAAAAACAAAUAUGUAACAAAGAAGCACAAAAAGGCAUAUAGACAAAGUACAUCAGCAAAAAUGAAAGACAAGAAUACUAAAAUUAUCAUAGAAAAAAAAUCGCACACAUUUACGAGAUGUAUAAGUACAAAGCCACGUCAUAUGUAUCAAAGAAACACAAAAAGGCAUACCGACAAAGCACGUAAGAUAAAAUGAAAAACAGGUAUACAAAAAUAUCAUAGAUCAAUAACACAAUAAUGGGAUGUAUAAGUACAGAGUCACGUCAAAUGGAUAUCACCAAAAACAAAGUUAAUAGUAAAAGUUAAGUGUUAUUUAUUAAUAUGUGGUCACGUAAUCUUUUAGUUUGUCCUUUUAAAUAACGUUUGUUAAACUAUAGCAAAUAUGUCGUUGUCUAAGUGUGAAAGGGCGACAUGAGUAGUACAUGCUGUAGUGUGUAGGGUGUUGAAACGUUAGACUAACGCUGAAUUGUAUAUAUUUUGUCUCAUUAAAACUAUCAGAUCUUUGGAAUAAAAUCUUCCAUGUAGCUCUUUUAAUUUAGCUCUUUAACCGAAUAUAAUAAAAUUAGUUUAAUAAAUAUUAAAAAAAACAUGUUUGAUAUAUGUUCCUUGUCUCUUCCUAUACGCAUUUCUUUAACAAUAACAUGUCAACAUUAGAACUUUUUGACGCGUUCAAUAUUAUUAUUGAUUUGAUGCUUUGUAUGUUUGUUGCCCCGUCAAUGUCAUGUAUAGGAUUAAAGUGUCACUGUAAAAAGAACCUGACUUUUGUAAUGAUGUUUUUAUGACUGGAGGAAAGUAUACCAUCGUCAGUAGACAUCAUCAGUUCGUGUGGUAAUAAACAUUGCAGUUCGUUAAGGGAACUGUACUUAUAGCAUGUUUAAAUUUCAUAAUUCGAUUCAGAUGCACAAAAAAAUCAAGUCACAAAUAAAAAGUAAUGGAAUCGCACGAACUUCAAAAUGAGCUAUAACGAGUGUAUACGUUGACUGGGCAAUAAACUGUUGCUGUGCAUGCAUCAUCCCUAUGCAAAUGCACAUGCAGUCAUUUAGAAAUAUGACACAAUCAAUAAAUUUGAGGAUCAUACGAGAACUAGUAAUAUGUUAUCUAAAAAUCCAAGACCGCGAAAAUAUGUCGAUAGUGAGUUAAGACACAUAAAAAUUUGCUGUUUCAGAAUCUAAUGCAUUCUUGGUAAUAUUGUCAAAAGCGUACACCAAAACGUUGUGAUUGGUUGAAAACGUUGAAAACCAAUGCCAUAACGUUAUUUUCAUUUUGGUGUACGUUUAAUGAGAUUACCUAUAACGCGAAUUGCAAUGGUGACCUUAAAACUGUUGUAAUGACAAUUUCAGUCGCUAUUGUUUAUAACUAUUUUGGAAAGAAAACACUAAUGAUACAAAAUCGAUAAAAUGUAAACAAAAACGAUCGUAAAUUGAUAUAUGUUAUCGCCAUUCGCUAACGUUGAGCGAAUAUGUAGCAGCUUAUAAAAUGUGAAUUAAGAAUUGAAAAAUUAAAGUCAUCACAUUUGUCGUAGAUUCUAGUUUGAAUUCGUCCUUCUUUGUAAAUUAAACAGUCAAAUUUGCAGGCUUUCCAGAAGAAAUGAUCUCAUUAUCAUCUGUUGUUAUACAUGCAUCGUCUAUCAUAUUAAUUUGCCACUUAUGCUUGGUAAUUAGAACACAGCUGAAACUCGUUCUAAAGCUCUAUAUAUUUCUCAUAAUUUAGUCAUCGAGUCGAAAUUCAUUUCUUUACAUUUAUAUAUAC